RNAcentral lists this ribosomal RNA (201 nucleotides) under uncultured bacterium. RNAcentral's name for it is "partial 16S ribosomal RNA". It matches the Rfam family "Bacterial small subunit ribosomal RNA", at positions 1300 to 1500 of the family's 1533-position model. The record is from RNAcentral.
GCAGUCUGCAACUCGAGUGCAUGAAGCUGGAAUCGCUAGUAAUCGCGGAUCAGAAUGCCGCGGUGAAUACGUUCCCGGGUCUUGUACACACCGCCCGUCACACCAUGGGAGUCGGGAAUGCCCGAAGCCGGUGGCCCGAUCGAAAGAAGGGAGCCGUCGAAGGCAGGCCGGAUGACUGGGGUGAAGUCGUAACAAGGUAAC